UACAGAGGUCUCAAGCGUUGUUCGGAUUCAUUGGGCGUAAAGGGUGCGUAGGCGGCUCUGUAAGUCUGGUGUGAAAUCUCGGGGCUUAACUCCGAAGCUGCAUUCGAUACUGCCGUGCUUGAGGACUGGAGAGGAGACUGGAAUUUACGGUGUAGCGGUGAAAUGCGUAGAUAUCGUAAGGAAGACCAGUGGCGAAGGCAGGUCUCUGGGCUGACACUGACGCUCAUGCACGAAAGCGUGGGGAGCAAACAGG
RNAcentral lists this ribosomal RNA (253 nucleotides) under uncultured bacterium. RNAcentral describes it as "partial 16S ribosomal RNA". It matches the Rfam family "Bacterial small subunit ribosomal RNA", at positions 524 to 776 of the family's 1533-position model. The record is from RNAcentral.